GGCUGAGACAGUAAAGCAUCUCCCUUACACCGAGAAGACAUCCGUGCAAAUUGGAUCGCCCUGAGCCAAAC
This 71-nucleotide transfer RNA is filed under the name Creteuchiloglanis kamengensis. RNAcentral describes it as "tRNA-Val". The record is from RNAcentral. Lineage: Eukaryota; Metazoa; Chordata; Actinopteri; Siluriformes; Sisoridae.